This 74-nucleotide transfer RNA is filed under the name Nanobdellota archaeon. RNAcentral describes it as "tRNA-Asn". It matches the Rfam family "tRNA". Rfam says of the family: Transfer RNA (tRNA) molecules are approximately 80 nucleotides in length. Their secondary structure includes four short double-helical elements and three loops (D, anti-codon, and T loops). The record is from RNAcentral. Lineage: Archaea; Nanobdellati; Nanobdellota.
GCCUCUGUAGCUUAGCCUGGUGGAGCUCGCGGCUGUUAACCGCGCGGUCGUAGGUUCAAAUCCUACCGGGGGCG